Molecule: ribosomal RNA, 2908 nt
Filed under: Citrobacter freundii
Lineage: Bacteria; Pseudomonadati; Pseudomonadota; Gammaproteobacteria; Enterobacterales; Enterobacteriaceae
Description: 23S ribosomal RNA
Rfam family: Bacterial large subunit ribosomal RNA
Source: RNAcentral
GGUUAAGCGACUAAGCGUACACGGUGGAUGCCCUGGCAGUCAGAGGCGAUGAAGGACGUGCUAAUCUGCGAUAAGCGUCGGUAAGGUGAUAUGAACCGUUAUAACCGGCGAUUUCCGAAUGGGGAAACCCAGUGUGAUUCGUCACACUAUCAUUACGUGAAUACAUAGCGUAAUGAAGCGAACCGGGGGAACUGAAACAUCUAAGUACCCCGAGGAAAAGAAAUCAACCGAGAUUCCCCCAGUAGCGGCGAGCGAACGGGGAGCAGCCCAGAGUCUGAAUCAGCUUGUGUGUUAGUGGAACGGUCUGGAAAGUCCGACGGUACAGGGUGAUAGUCCCGUACACCAAAAUGCACAGGUUGUGAACUCGAAGAGUAGGGCGGGACACGUGGUAUCCUGUCUGAAUAUGGGGGGACCAUCCUCCAAGGCUAAAUACUCCUGACUGACCGAUAGUGAACCAGUACCGUGAGGGAAAGGCGAAAAGAACCCCGGCGAGGGGAGUGAAAAAGAACCUGAAACCGUGUACGUACAAGCAGUGGGAGCAUCCUUUUGGGUGUGACUGCGUACCUUUUGUAUAAUGGGUCAGCGACUUAUAUUCUGUAGCAAGGUUAACCGUAUAGGGGAGCCGAAGGGAAACCGAGUCUUAACUGGGCGUUAAGUUGCAGGGUAUAGACCCGAAACCCGGUGAUCUAGCCAUGGGCAGGUUGAAGGUUGGGUAACACUAACUGGAGGACCGAACCGACUAAUGUUGAAAAAUUAGCGGAUGACUUGUGGCUGGGGGUGAAAGGCCAAUCAAACCGGGAGAUAGCUGGUUCUCCCCGAAAGCUAUUUAGGUAGCGCCUCGUGAACUCAUCUUCGGGGGUAGAGCACUGUUUCGGCUAGGGGGUCAUCCCGACUUACCAACCCGAUGCAAACUGCGAAUACCGAAGAAUGUUAUCACGGGAGACACACGGCGGGUGCUAACGUCCGUCGUGAAGAGGGAAACAACCCAGACCGCCAGCUAAGGUCCCAAAGUCAUGGUUAAGUGGGAAACGAUGUGGGAAGGCACAGACAGCCAGGAUGUUGGCUUAGAAGCAGCCAUCAUUUAAAGAAAGCGUAAUAGCUCACUGGUCGAGUCGGCCUGCGCGGAAGAUGUAACGGGGCUAAACCAUGCACCGAAGCUGCGGCAGCGACACUAUGUGUUGUUGGGUAGGGGAGCGUUCUGUAAGCCGUUGAAGGUGUAUCGUGAGGUAUGCUGGAGGUAUCAGAAGUGCGAAUGCUGACAUAAGUAACGAUAAUGCGGGUGAAAAACCCGCACGCCGGAAGACCAAGGGUUCCUGUCCAACGUUAAUCGGGGCAGGGUGAGUCGACCCCUAAGGCGAGGCCGAAAGGCGUAGUCGAUGGGAAACAGGUUAAUAUUCCUGUACUUGGUGUUACUGCGAAGGGGGGACGGAGAAGGCUAUGUUAGCCGGGCGACGGUUGUCCCGGUUUAAGCAUGUAGGCGGAGGUUCCAGGUAAAUCCGGUACCUUUUUAACGCUGAGGUGUGAUGACGAGGCACUACGGUGCUGAAGUAACAAAUGCCCUGCUUCCAGGAAAAGCCUCUAAGCAUCAGGUAACACGAAAUCGUACCCCAAACCGACACAGGUGGUCAGGUAGAGAAUACCAAGGCGCUUGAGAGAACUCGGGUGAAGGAACUAGGCAAAAUGGUGCCGUAACUUCGGGAGAAGGCACGCUGAUAUGUAGGUGAAGUGAUUUACUCAUGGAGCUGAAAUCAGUCGAAGAUACCAGCUGGCUGCAACUGUUUAUUAAAAACACAGCACUGUGCAAACACGAAAGUGGACGUAUACGGUGUGACGCCUGCCCGGUGCCGGAAGGUUAAUUGAUGGGGUUAUCCGUAAGGAGAAGCUCUUGAUCGAAGCCCCGGUAAACGGCGGCCGUAACUAUAACGGUCCUAAGGUAGCGAAAUUCCUUGUCGGGUAAGUUCCGACCUGCACGAAUGGCGUAAUGAUGGCCAGGCUGUCUCCACCCGAGACUCAGUGAAAUUGAACUCGCUGUGAAGAUGCAGUGUACCCGCGGCAAGACGGAAAGACCCCGUGAACCUUUACUAUAGCUUGACACUGAACACUGGUCCUUGAUGUGUAGGAUAGGUGGGAGGCUUUGAAGUGUGGACGCCAGUCUGCAUGGAGCCAUCCUUGAAAUACCACCCUUUAAUGGCUGGUGUUCUAACGUGGACCCGUAAUCCGGGUUGCGGACAGUGUCUGGUGGGUAGUUUGACUGGGGCGGUCUCCUCCUAAAGAGUAACGGAGGAGCACGAAGGUUAGCUAAUCCUGGUCGGACAUCAGGAGGUUAGUGCAAAGGCAUAAGCUAGCUUGACUGCGAGAGUGACGGCUCGAGCAGGUGCGAAAGCAGGUCUUAGUGAUCCGGUGGUUCUGAAUGGAAGGGCCAUCGCUCAACGGAUAAAAGGUACUCCGGGGAUAACAGGCUGAUACCGCCCAAGAGUUCAUAUCGACGGCGGUGUUUGGCACCUCGAUGUCGGCUCAUCACAUCCUGGGGCUGAAGUAGGUCCCAAGGGUAUGGCUGUUCGCCAUUUAAAGUGGUACGCGAGCUGGGUUUAGAACGUCGUGAGACAGUUCGGUCCCUAUCUGCCGUGGGCGCUGGAGAAUUGAGGGGGGCUGCUCCUAGUACGAGAGGACCGGAGUGGACGCAUCACUGGUGUUCGGGUUGUCAUGCCAAUGGCAUUGCCCGGUAGCUAAAUGCGGAAGAGAUAAGUGCUGAAAGCAUCUAAGCACGAAACUUGCCCCGAGAUGAGUUCUCCCUGAGACUAUAAGUCUCCUGAAGGAACGUUAAAGACGAUGACGUUGAUAGGUCGGGUGUGUAAGUGUAGCGAUACAUUGAGCUAACCGAUACUAAUGAACCGUGAGGCUUAACCUU